AGUGAACGCUGGCGGUAGGCCUAACACAUGCAAGUCGAACGGCAGCACAGUAAGAGCUUGCUCUUACGGGUGGCGAGUGGCGGACGGGUGAGGAAUACAUCGGAAUCUACUUUUUCGUGGGGGAUAACGUAGGGAAACUUACGCUAAUACCGCAUACGACCUACGGGUGAAAGCAGGGGAUCUUCGGACCUUGCGCGAUUGAAUGAGCCGAUGUCGGAUUAGCUAGUUGGCGGGGUAAAGGCCCACCAAGGCGACGAUCCGUAGCUGGUCUGAGAGGAUGAUCAGCCACACUGGAACUGAGACACGGUCACGACUCCUACGGGAGGCAGCAGUGGGGAAUAUUGGACAAUGGGCGCAAGCCUGAUCCAGCCAUACCGCGUGGGUGAAGAAGGCCUUCGGGUUGUAAAGCCCUUUUGUUGGGAAAGAAAAGCAGCAGGUUAAUACCCCGCUGUUCUGACGGUACCCAAAGAAUAAGCACCGGCUAACUUCGUG
RNAcentral lists this ribosomal RNA (492 nucleotides) under uncultured bacterium. RNAcentral's name for it is "partial 16S ribosomal RNA". It matches the Rfam family "Bacterial small subunit ribosomal RNA", at positions 29 to 507 of the family's 1533-position model. The record is from RNAcentral.